RNAcentral lists this ribosomal RNA (253 nucleotides) under uncultured bacterium. Its description in RNAcentral is "partial 16S ribosomal RNA". It matches the Rfam family "Bacterial small subunit ribosomal RNA", at positions 524 to 776 of the family's 1533-position model. The record is from RNAcentral.
UACGUAGGGGGCGAGCGUUAUCCGGAUUUAUUGGGCGUAAAGGGCACGCAGGCGGUCGUGUAAGUUUUGGGGUUACAGCUCCCGGCUCAACUGGGAGAGCGCCUUGAAGACUGCAGGACUUGAGGCCACAGAGGGACACGGAAUUCCGGGUGUAGUGGUGAAAUGCGUAGAUAUCCGGAGGAACACCAAAGGCGAAGGCAGUGUCCUGGGUGGUACCUGACGCUCAGGUGCGAAAGCUAGGGGAGCGAACGGG